UGCCAUACCAAAGGAUAUGUAAAUGAUAAAAUCAAAUCAAUCACAGAACUAAGAGUCUCUUAAUGCUUUCAAAAAAUAAGUCAGGAGAUGGAAGAAAAGGACAAUUAAUUUGAUCAACUCGAAGCCACAACUGAGAUGCUGAUACAGUACAAGAAUUCUAAAGAAAAUUUUUACUAUUAUAUGAAUAAAAUGCCAAAUAAAUUAGCUUAUUUUGAUAUAUCUGUACUGUCCCAUCCCUAUAGAGAGAGAGAGAGAGAGAG
This 260-nucleotide unclassified non-coding RNA is filed under the name Hevea brasiliensis (rubber tree). Lineage: Eukaryota; Viridiplantae; Streptophyta; Magnoliopsida; Malpighiales; Euphorbiaceae. The record is from RNAcentral.